RNAcentral lists this long non-coding RNA (778 nucleotides) under Setaria viridis. Its description in RNAcentral is "long non-coding RNA (SVIR_LNC001101)". Lineage: Eukaryota; Viridiplantae; Streptophyta; Magnoliopsida; Poales; Poaceae. The record is from RNAcentral.
CUUACAACAGCCUACAUAGGCUAGGUUGUGAGAUUUGUAUUGGUAGCUCGAUCGAUUCACUUCCAAAAGAAAGAUCCAACGCACGCCGUAGCUCGGGGGAGAGAAGAACACCAGUAGCUCCACGAUGAGGAAGGCCGCAGUGGUGGCCAUGCUGUUGGUUCUCAUGGUCACGUCGGGCUCGGGCACCCGUGCCGCGGCGCGGGCGUUGCCGGGAGAACAGCCGGCCUCCCCAGGCGGCUCCACAAACAAUGCGUCGCCACCGCCGAGGUCGUCGUCGUCGGUGCAUGGGCGUGGCCUGCGCAGGCUGCUGCCGGUGGAGGAGAACAAGUCAGGAGCAGGUCAUUCCUGUGGAAGUAAUGACAAAAAUAUCGGAUGUCCGUAGGUCCUGCAUGGAGUCGACGCAGAAGUCUCUACUUACGUAAUAGUACUAUCAAUCUCCCGCUUGUAAUGGUUCUUUAAUUCUUACCUCUGAUUCGACCUUUUAUUUUGUUAUUUCUUAGUUCUGUAAUUGCUAUAUAGUCCUAGCUAGUUGCAUAUGUAGGUACAAUAAUAUGUGUACAGCAAAUGGGCAAUAGCCUGGUUGGCUAGCUCAUUGUAGAGUGGAGCUAGCAACCACAGUCGAAUCCCUAUUUGCAUAGGUAUUAAGGUGCCAUCAAAUAUGAUCGGGUCGCGAGCUAGACCCCUAUAGUCGUUUUUAUGUACAGCAGAGCUACCAGUUCUAAGCUUUGUACCCUGAUGGGUUUAUAAUUGCUUGAAUAAAUAAUAAGUAGCUUCAAUU